Molecule: ribosomal RNA, 495 nt
Filed under: uncultured bacterium
Lineage: Bacteria
Description: partial 16S ribosomal RNA
Rfam family: Bacterial small subunit ribosomal RNA
Source: RNAcentral
GAUGAACGCUGGCGGCGUGCCUAAUACAUGCAAGUAGAACGCUGAAGGAGGAGCUUGCUCUUCUGGAUGAGUUGCGAACGGGUGAGUAACGCGUAGGUAACCUGCCUGGUAGCGGGGGAUAACUAUUGGAAACGAUAGCUAAUACCGCAUGACAACAGUUAUUGCAUGAUAACUGUUUAAAAGGGGCAACUGCUCCACUACCAGAUGAACCUGCGUUGUAUUAGCUAGUUGGUGAGGUAACGGCUCACCAAGGCGACGAUACAUAGCCGACCUGAGAGGGUGAUCGGCCACACUGGGACUGAGACACGGCCCAGACUCCUACGGGAGGCAGCAGUAGGGAAUCUUCGGCAAUGGACGGAAGUCUGACCGAGCAACGCCGCGUGAGUGAAGAAGGUUUUCGGAUCGUAAAGCUCUGUUGUAAGAGAAGAACGAGUGUGAGAGUGGAAAGUUCACACUGUGACGGUAUCUUACCAGAAAGGGACGGCUAACUACGUG